This 145-nucleotide microRNA precursor is filed under the name Oryza brachyantha (malo sina). Its description in RNAcentral is "MIR812 microRNA precursor family". It matches the Rfam family "MIR812 microRNA precursor family", at positions 31 to 175 of the family's 205-position model. Lineage: Eukaryota; Viridiplantae; Streptophyta; Magnoliopsida; Poales; Poaceae. The record is from Rfam by way of RNAcentral.
GUUUUGACUCUUCGUCUUAUUUAAAUUUUUUUAUGAUUAAUAUUUUUAUUGUUACUAGAUGAUAAAAUAUGAAUAGUACGUUAUGCGUGAAUAAUUUUUUUAAAGUUUUUAUAUAAUUUUUUAAAAUAAAACAAAUGAUCAAAGC